GAGAAAUAGCAUGAGGUUUGCCUUUCUCAGCCCCUCCUCCAGUUUUUAGUCCUACAAAGUGUUUGGUGCAUAGUAUAGAGGCAAUGUACUAUGCACCAAACACUUUGUAGGACUAAAAAUUGGGGGAGGGUGCUGAGAGAGGCAAUUGGGACAUGGGUG
Molecule: non-coding RNA, 159 nt
Organism: Podarcis lilfordi (Lilford's wall lizard)
Lineage: Eukaryota; Metazoa; Chordata; Lepidosauria; Squamata; Lacertidae
Source: the annotation of a GenBank genome assembly